AGGCUAUGCUUUACCUGUCACUAUAGUGUCUGUCAGAAAGCCAUCUAACCAACUAUGAUUCUGCCCAAGGACCAUGGCAACUAGUCUCUUUAAUCCUAUAUGGAGAUCUUCCUUAAAGGCCUCUGUGUAGAAUUCCUGAUCAUGACUUCUAGUCAUAUCCUGUACACAAACACUCAUGGUAUGUUCUAUGACUUCCUUUUCAGCAAUACGUGCUGCUGGCCACGUCCAGGUACUCGAAGUGUCCAGCUGGAGUCCAUUAUUCUUUGCACCCUUCUGAAUACAAUCCCGAAGCAGAGCUGUUGGCUGAGACAUGCAGUCCAAGAUUAUCUUCACAACCCAGCACAUGUUCAAACAUGUGACAUGCUCAGCAAAUUCUCUCCUAAUUGCGCUUUCAUAGCCUUUGAAGACUACUGGGUCCUCCACCAGGUCAUCAAGGGUCCAAAUACUCAGGGUUUCAGGAUUGCCUAACAUGGCAGUCCGUAGCCGCUGGAGUGUUUUCAGUGAGACACAGGUAUCGGUGUGUGGCCUGAUCUUUAUAGGUACCAGGGAAAACUUAUAAUUUGUCAGGGAUUCAGCCAACAAUUCACAGUUCUCACAGUCACAUGAAUAUUCUAUCAGAUCCUUCAAUCUAGCAGCCACUGUUGCAAACAUUUCAUCCACUGUAAAAGCUGGUGAGGCUGGGAAGUUAUGAAAAAAUAAGAGCUGGCACACAAAGAAGGCAGCACUUAGCACCUCAUUACAGUUUUCAUUUUCAGGCCAUUUAUGAACAGAAGGCAACUUCUUGAACAGAGUGAGAAGGGCAGGCACAUAACAAAAUUCCCUGGAAUCAUAGAUUUUUUUAGCAUCUGCCACGACCUGAGAUAUAUCAGUACAAUUUGAAAGAUUCUUAAGUAUGUUCAUAAAUUUCUCAUACUGUUCCUUUUCUCUGUCAGAUGUGACCAUGAGAAUUGAAACCUGCUGGCAACCACCACCUUCACGGGUUUCAAGGUCCAUUUUUGAACACAUUAUCCCACAAUGUGCUGCAGUCUGCAAGAAAUAAUAGCCUCCCACUUUUAUGGAAAUCUGGUAGCUCCUCCUACAUGAGUCAUGAAAUGUCCCUUCAAAGGCUGAGGAGAGAGCACAACUCUUUUCAAUCUACACUCAAAAAUACAACUCCUGCACUACGAGGGAAUUUCUGCAGCGAUGGCCUCUGACUCGGAUUCCCCUUCAGCCGAUAAGGUAGGUAAACAUUUUAUAUAAAUUUGUAAACCACGCAGACAGAUCAGUAUUUCAUCAAAAACUAAAGUGUUGUUACUAGUCUGAAGUCUGUGGAGCAGAUGGUUUAAGUUAGACAAUUUUGCCCACACAACAGAUGUGCUAUAGCAGAGCAGGUUUGUGUCAGAUUCCACAAUCGCUUCUAACUCUUUUACAUGAUUUUUAAAAAGGGCAUUAAAUGCCACAAGGCUGUCCAGCAGAAACUGACUUUGGACACAAACACUGAACAGUUUAAAGACGCUUACCCAAUACACAAGGACAUUGAGUCCAGUAGAUAAAUCAAAGUCUGCAGCUGUUUCUAACUCUAGUGAAUACUUUAAGAAUGUUUUAAAGUUGUACAUAUAAGAAAAGUGUUUAUUGUCCAACAUAGAAGAUAUUUUUCUCAAGGCUUCCUCGUCUACAGAGGUCAGGAAACAUGCACACCAUUCAUGUACAGGCUGAUCUUUGUCAUAUGGGAUAGACAAAAUCUCUGGACUUUGACAGCCCAGUAAAUUGACAGUGCCUAUGGCCAAGUCUUGUAACAAGUUUGAAUCAUUUGCCUCAAGGGAUAGCUUCAUGUAGUCGAGUAUGCGCUGAAAUUUGGAGGUAGUGGACAACCUCUCCAAUAGUGUUAGGUGUCUGAUAAUUAGUUCCCUCAAGUGGGGCAACAAAAAUGGCUCUGUAUCCAAGUUGUGGCGCAGUGUCUGACAAAUUUUACACAGCACCUGAAGCUUACACAAACAGGCACUUACUCUAUUAUGUUCCCUAGUAUCUAUGACACAAAAGGUGUGGACCACGCUUUCCAGAGAAGGAUAAUAAAAUUCAUCCCCCAUGUUUUCUGUUCUUAUAGGACUGGCACGGAUCGAAGCAGGUCUACUUGAGCCAGUUGAUUGGAGUCUCUGCUGAAACAAAAGAGGAAUUUCAGCAACUGGUAGAUCUAUUUAUAUGCUUCCUACAGCACCCUGAAGAUGGUUUGAAUGCUCUGCAGUAUGUCAAGAAUUUGGAACUUGCUCUUCGGCGUCUGCAGUCAGACAGUCUCAAACAUGGGCCUUUGUCUGGGUUAAUAUUUGACCUGAACUUCUACAAUGUCUGGGUAAUGUUCAGAAACCAGAAGGUGAGGUUUAAUGCCAAAGUCCAUAACAGGCAUCCAUGUGGGUACAUAUCUCACCACCUGAUCAAAUAUGCCAUUGAAAGAGUUGUCUAUACCACAGACAGGCUGUUUCUGACUGCCCCAUGUUCGGGGGUACAGCUACCUCAACCUCUGGCCUGCAGUCUGUUCGAAAUACUCAAGGAUGUUAGAGGAAAAUGCACAACGGCCUGGAGGCGCUUAGGGGCAGGCCGCAGACAUUUAAUGACAUUUGGGCGCAAUGUGUUGGAUGAAUUUAAUUCUGAGAAGAAGUCACCUGGUGGCAUAUCCAGAGAAGUUGAGGCAUUUAUAAAGAUAUGCUUUCCACAAAUGGACUUAAAUAAAAUUUUAAUUCCAAUUUAUCAGCACGCCAUCAACAUCCCACCAGACUGUGUACCCAGCUGUACUAUUGGAGAUGGAAACAGAAAACGAGCCCCCCACGGUUCGCUAUACAGUAAAGACAUAUCCUCACAAAAGUUCUGCAUCCCAGACCCCCUGUUUGCUUCUCCCACAGAACCAGGGUUGGGGGAGUUGCAUAGGGGUAAUAUGGCACAUUUGCUGCAGAACCCAGAAGAAAUCAUUAACCUGGACCCUCUACACAAUACCACUGAACCCUGUUUGUAUCAAAUGUUUUCAGAGGCGGUGACAAACCCCUCUAAAAAAAGAUGGCUUUCUUCUUUCAACAUGGUCUUUUCAGGACUGUCUCCGAGAGCUCGGCCAGAGACCACUUAUGAACCAUUGGGGCCAUUUUCACCCAUUAGCCCUGGCCCUUCUUCCGCCACAGAAGAGUUCCAGUUUGAAUUUAGCCCUUCUCCUCAAACCUCCCCAGAAACAAGCGAGCAGAGCUACAUACCUACUCCCAACUCAGCUAUGGGCGGAUCCUUUGAGUACACAGGCGCCGUUCAACCACAACUAAUUCCAGAUAAUCACACCUGUUCCGCAAAGAGAUUAAGGGAGAGCGAUGAGGAGGUAAAUUAUUCUUCAGACGGUAGUCCAAACAAGAAACCCACAGCUCGCACUUCUGGGCACGAACAGGCUUAUGGUUUUCUGGCCGAGUUGCUCUCUAGCCACAGGGAUACGCCUGUCCAGCAUAUUGUGCAAUCUGGCUCAACGCCCGCCCCGCCAAUUGUUGAGCCUCAGGGACAAGAUUUUGUUGGAAAACAGGAUGAGACAUGUUCCAACGUGUUCCCAGAACAAAUUACUCAGGAAGCGUGUCCCGGAUCAUCUGAGGACGCGUUCAUCGAUGAUGCUAUAAAGGAAAUAUUUGCAUCGCUGGACUCUAUGGCAAACCAGGACACUGCUGACAGUGACACAUGUUCCAUACUUGACCCCCAAUCACCCACUCCCCCACCCUCCGUUCCCCCAAUAACUACACUCUCGUUGUAUGACAUUUAUGCCAGCAUACUUAGUCCACUCGACCCAAACAGCCUGGAGUCAUAAACGGUGCCAAAUACAAGACAUUUCUAAAUCCUUAAGUAUAAUGUUUAUAUUUAACUGAAUAAAAGAAGUGACGCUAUAAAACCCUCAA
RNAcentral lists this non-coding RNA (3887 nucleotides) under synthetic construct. The record is from RNAcentral.